AAAAAGCCUCUGAGCAGGUGCCAGAUACUCAUUGUCUUCUGACUGCAUGUCUAGUUUAGCAGUGGCUGGUAGAAGUUACUGAGUUUGCUGCUAAUAGUGUCUGAAGUCAUGGGAUUCAUCCUCAGGUUGCUCCUGUUAUCUCUGCUUGAUCUUGGAUGUCAGGUUAAUGGUGGCCACAGUGGCUCUACUGACAAACAUGGAGAUGAGUCGAUUCUUAGGUUGACAGACAAUGAACCAGUGUUUCCUGUAGAGCCUGUAUACCCAGUAAGGGGUCCAGUUCACUCGUACCUGCCUGUGGUCCCGAGG
Non-coding RNA from Nothobranchius furzeri (turquoise killifish), 306 nucleotides. NCBI's taxonomy places the organism in Eukaryota, Metazoa, Chordata, Actinopteri, Cyprinodontiformes, Nothobranchiidae. The record is from RefSeq and is a predicted model, not a curated record.